RNAcentral lists this ribosomal RNA (495 nucleotides) under uncultured bacterium. RNAcentral describes it as "bacterial SSU rRNA". It matches the Rfam family "Bacterial small subunit ribosomal RNA", at positions 28 to 524 of the family's 1533-position model. The record is from RNAcentral.
GAUGAACGCUAGCGGGAGGCCUAACACAUGCAAGCCGAGCGGUAGAGAUUCUUCGGAAUCUUGAGAGCGGCGUACGGGUGCGGAACACGUGUGCAACCUACCUUUAUCUGGAGGAUAGCCUUUCGAAAGGAAGAUUAAUACUCCGUAAUAUAUUGAUUGGCAUCAAUUGAUAUUGAAAGCUCCGGCGGAUAGAGAUGGGCACGCGCAAGAUUAGUUAGUUGGUGAGGUAACGGCUCACCAAGACGAUGAUCUUUAGGGGCCUGAGAGGUGAUCCCCACACUGGUACUGAGACACGGACCAGACUCCUACGGGAGGCAGCAGUGAGGAAUAUUGGUCAAUGGGUGCAAGCCUGAACCAGCCAUCCCGCGUGAAGGACGAACUGCCCCUAUGGGUUGUAAACUUCUUUUGUAUAGGGAUAAACCUACCCUCGUGAGGGUAGCUGAAGGUACUAUACGAAUAAGCACCGGCUAACUCCGUGCCAGCAGCCGCGGUAAU